RNAcentral lists this ribosomal RNA (253 nucleotides) under uncultured bacterium. Its description in RNAcentral is "partial 16S ribosomal RNA". It matches the Rfam family "Bacterial small subunit ribosomal RNA", at positions 524 to 776 of the family's 1533-position model. The record is from RNAcentral.
UACGAAGGGGGCUAGCGUUGCUCGGAAUCACUGGGCGUAAAGGGCGCGUAGGCGGGUUUUUAAGUCAGGGGGGAAAUCCUGGAGCUCAACUCCAGAACUGCCUUUGAUACUGAGGAUCUUGAGUUCGGGAGAGGUGAGUGGAACUGCGAGUGUAGAGGUGAAAUUCGUAGAUAUUCGCAAGAACACCAGUGGCGAAGGCGGCUCACUGGCCCGAUACUGACGCUGAGGCACGAAAGCGUGGGGAGCAAACAGG